GGGCCGUUAGCUCAAUCGGUAGAGCACUUGCCUCUUAAGCAAGGGGUUGCAGGUCCGAUUCCUGCACGGCCCA
Molecule: transfer RNA, 73 nt
Filed under: Candidatus Omnitrophota bacterium
Lineage: Bacteria; Pseudomonadati; Candidatus Omnitrophota
Description: Candidatus Omnitrophica bacterium tRNA-Lys
Rfam family: tRNA
About the family: Transfer RNA (tRNA) molecules are approximately 80 nucleotides in length. Their secondary structure includes four short double-helical elements and three loops (D, anti-codon, and T loops). Further hydrogen bonds mediate the characteristic L-shaped molecular structure. tRNAs have two regions of fundamental functional importance: the anti-codon, which is responsible for specific mRNA codon recognition, and the 3' end, to which the tRNAs corresponding amino acid is attached (by aminoacyl-tRNA synthetases). tRNAs cope with the degeneracy of the genetic code in two manners: having more than one tRNA (with a specific anti-codon) for a particular amino acid; and 'wobble' base-pairing, i.e. permitting non-standard base-pairing at the 3rd anti-codon position.
Source: RNAcentral